GUGGGGAAUAUUGGACAAUGGGCGAAAGCCUGAUCCAGCCAUGCCGCGUGUGUGAAGAAGGUCUUCGGAUUGUAAAGCACUUUAAGUUGGGAGGAAGGGCAGUAAGUUAAUACCUUGCUGUUUUGACGUUACCAACAGAAUAAGCACCGGCUAACUUCGUGCCAGCAGCCGCGGUAAUACGAAGGGUGCAAGCGUUAAUCGGAAUUACUGGGCGUAAAGCGCGCGUAGGUGGUUCAGCAAGUUGGAGGUGAAAUCCCCGGGCUCAACCUGGGAACUGCCUCCAAAACUACUGAGCUAGAGUACGGUAGAGGGUAGUGGAAUUUACUGUGUAGCGGUGAGAUGCGUAGAUAUAGGAAGGAACACCAGUGGCGAAGGCGACUACCUGGACUGAUACUGACACUGAGGUGCGAAAGCGUGGGGAGCAAACAGGAUUAGAAACCCGGGUAGUCC
RNAcentral lists this ribosomal RNA (450 nucleotides) under uncultured bacterium. RNAcentral describes it as "partial 16S ribosomal RNA". It matches the Rfam family "Bacterial small subunit ribosomal RNA", at positions 354 to 796 of the family's 1533-position model. The record is from RNAcentral.